GACGAACGCUGGCGGCGUGCUUAACACAUGCGAGUCGAACGGAAAGGCCCUGCUUUUGUGGGGUGCUCGAGUGGCGAACGGGUGAGUAACACGUGAGUAACCUGCCCUUGACUUUGGGAUAACUUCAGGAAACUGGGGCUAAUACCGGAUAGGAGCUCCUGCUGCAUGGUGGGGGUUGGAAAGUUUCGGCGGUUGGGGAUGGACUCGCGGCUUAUCAGCUUGUUGGUGGGGUAGUGGCUUACCAAGGCUUUGACGGGUAGCCGGCCUGAGAGGGUGACCGGCCACAUUGGGACUGAGCUACGGCCCAGACUCCUACGGGAGGCAGCAGUGGGGAAUAUUGCACAAUGGGCGGAAGCCUGAUGCAGCAACGCCGCGUGCGGGAUGACGGCCUUCGGGUUGUAAACCGCUUUCGCCUGUGACGAAGCGUGAGUGACGGUAAUGGGUAAAGAAGCACCGGCUAACUACGUG
RNAcentral lists this ribosomal RNA (468 nucleotides) under uncultured bacterium. RNAcentral describes it as "partial 16S ribosomal RNA". It matches the Rfam family "Bacterial small subunit ribosomal RNA", at positions 28 to 507 of the family's 1533-position model. The record is from RNAcentral.